GACGAACGCUGGCGGCGUGCUUAACACAUGCAAGUCGAACGGAAAGGCCCCCACCUUGGUGGGGGUGCUCGAGUGGCGAACGGGUGAGUAACACGUGGGUCAUCUGCCCUGUACUUCGGGAUAAGCUUGGGAAACUGGGUCUAAUACCGGAUAGGACCAUGGUUUAGUGUCUCAUGGUGGAAAAAUUAUUGUUUUGGUGCAGGAUGAGCUCGCGGCCUAUCAGCUUGUUGGUGGGGUAAUGACCUACCAAGGCGUCGACGGCUAGCCGGCCUGAGAGGGUGGACGGCCAGAUACGGAGUGACGGACCACCCAGACUCCGACGGCAGGCAGCAGUGGGGAAUAGUGCAGGAUGGGCGCCAGACUGAGGCAGCGACGGCGCGUGAUGAAUGACGGCCUUCGGGUUGUAACCUCCUUUCGUUAGGGACGAAGCCACACCUUUUUUGGGUGUGGUGACGGUACCUUUGUUAAGAAGCACCGGCUAACUACGUG
This 489-nucleotide ribosomal RNA is filed under the name uncultured bacterium. RNAcentral describes it as "partial 16S ribosomal RNA". It matches the Rfam family "Bacterial small subunit ribosomal RNA", at positions 28 to 507 of the family's 1533-position model. The record is from RNAcentral.